AGCUUCAUGCUUCGGGUCGGGGAAGGAAAGACAGAGAAUUUGGAUUUUUCUUCUUCGUAGAGUUUUGGGAAGGCUGAGGCAAUCGCUGUUGAAGUCAGUAUUGUAAUGGUGAAUCGAGAUUUUUAAUGAAGUGGGUUUGAAUACUCUUGACUGUUUUGUAAAAUCGAGUUACGUCUGUGAUUGAAGGAUUAAAAGGGCGUCUAUAGGAUUGAGUAUGCGAAGUGAAUGAAAUUUAUUGGGUUAAUCUAACAAGACAGUCAGUGGAUA
RNAcentral lists this long non-coding RNA (267 nucleotides) under Physcomitrium patens. RNAcentral describes it as "long non-coding RNA (PPAT_LNC000820)". Lineage: Eukaryota; Viridiplantae; Streptophyta; Bryopsida; Funariales; Funariaceae. The record is from RNAcentral.